GAUGAACGCUGGCGGCGUGCCUAAUACAUGCAAGUCGAGCGAACGGACGAGAAGCUUGCUUCUCUGAUGUUAGCGGCGGACGGGUGAGUAACACGUGGAUAACCUACCUAUAAGACUGGGAUAACUUCGGGAAACCGGAGCUAAUACCGGAUAAUAUUUUGAACCGCAUGGUUCAAAAGUGAAAGACGGUCUUGCUGUCACUUAUAGAUGGAUCCGCGCUGCAUUAGCUAGUUGGUAAGGUAACGGCUUACCAAGGCAACGAUGCAUAGACGACCUGAGAGGGUGAUCGGCCACACUGGAACGGAGACACGGUCCAGACUCCUACGGGAGGCAGCAGUAGGGAAUCGUCCGCAAUGGGCGAAAGCCUGACGGAGCAACGCCGCGUGAGUGAUGAAGGUCUUCGGAUCGUAAAACUCUGUUAUUAGGGAAGAACAUAUGUGUAAGUAACUGUGCACAUCUUGACGGUACCUAAUCAGAAAGCCACGGCUAACUACGU
This 496-nucleotide ribosomal RNA is filed under the name uncultured bacterium. RNAcentral describes it as "partial 16S ribosomal RNA". It matches the Rfam family "Bacterial small subunit ribosomal RNA", at positions 28 to 506 of the family's 1533-position model. The record is from RNAcentral.